GAACUCCUACGGGACGCAGCAGUGAGGAAUAUUGGUCAAUGGCCGCAGGGCUGAACCAGCCAAGUCGCGUGAGGGAUGACGGUCCUAUGGAUUGUAAACCUCUUUUGUCAGGGAGCAAAGGGCGCCACGUGUGGCGUUUUGCGAGUACCUGAAGAAAAAGCAUCGGCUAACUCCGUGCCAGCAGCCGCGGGAAUACGGAGGAUGCGAGCGUUAUCCGGAUUUAUUGGGUUUAAAGGGUGCGUAGGCGGUCCGUUAAGUCAGCGGGAAAAU
RNAcentral lists this ribosomal RNA (270 nucleotides) under uncultured bacterium. RNAcentral's name for it is "partial 16S ribosomal RNA". It matches the Rfam family "Bacterial small subunit ribosomal RNA", at positions 333 to 600 of the family's 1533-position model. The record is from RNAcentral.